GUAUUUUGAUUAUUAUUGCUGGAAAUAUUUUUUCUUGUGUUUGGGACUGUGUGUGGUAAAAUUGAUGUUUACUGAUGAAAAAUCUCAUCCUUCCAAGUUUAGUUAUACAACUUUAAAAAAAUGUGGUGCGAACAUAACCUGUGUCCCCACCAUGUAAAUGGGACCUAACAUAAGAGAAUGUGAGCAGUGAUGUAGAAAAAUAAAGACUAUAAAAUAAAGAUUGUAUGAUUCCCCUAGGCAAUAUUCUUUUAGAAGCAUACUUUCCACACGGAACAGAUUAAAAAAACAUGUUGUUGCAUACAGUUGUGUGUAAGAGAUGGUUUUCACUAAAACAUUUUCUGGGGCUUUGGGACAUUACUUGCAUAGAUUACUCUACUGUUAAUGCUGUUUUCUUAAGUGUUUAAAAAGAGAAGUAGGACCAAUCUUUCUAGACCCGGAUGGUUUAGAAUUAGGUUCCUAAAUCCAUAUUUACGCCCUGAUACUGCAAAUAUGCAUCAGUGUUUGCAGGAUCAGGGUCUUAAAUUGCUAAAUAAGUUACCUGUUUUUCAGUGGAGCGGUCGGUGCUGAGCACCCUUGAAAAUCAUAUCAUUUGUUUAAUUGCCUAAAUAUGGAUUUUGGGUUCUAACUCUAAACACCACAAUCUUAAAAUUUUGGGCUUGAUUAUAUCACCUUUUUGUGUGUGAAAAUUCUCUUUACAUCUCCUUCCUACACUUGCCAAUUUGUAUUAAGAUCUUGAGUCAUCAGUGAAGCCCUUUUAUAGUGAAAUUGGGUUUUUGUUUUUGAUUUUUUUUAUAGAAAAGCUUUACUCUUAGCAGAGGCUCAGUGUAACGGGAAUUUCAGUUUGCACAUUGCAUGGCACAGAAACUGUUAGGAACUUUCAUUCUACUUCACUGUAACUGGAGUUUGUCUGUAUCUUAGUUCACCAUAAGCAGUUUCCUCUGCCUGCCUGUCUGUCUGAAAUUAUAACUGGUAAUAUAAUGAGAAAUUAUUUACUAGUAAAUAAUUUAGCAAUUAAUGGGGAAAAUGUAUUGAAUAAACAUAUACAAAUUAUUAUUCAGUUAUCUAUAGAGCUGUUCAAAUAAUGACAAUGUAUAACUGAAUAAUCUAUUUCAAUUCAUAUGUUAGAAUCCAUUGGAUGAAUCGAUCAGGACAUGCAGGUGGCUGAGGACAGACAUUGGGAUGGAUUUUAAGCAGCCGGCCACAACUUUACUAAACCUAGCACCCCUCCCCAGUGUUACUGCCCUGUCUCCCUGUACCAGGCUUAGAAGAGGAUCCAGUGUGGGGUUUACAGUGCUCCUAUCAUGUAGCCCAUAUCACAGGCUAGACUCUGCACUGCCGACCCCUAGGAUUCAGCCAGCUCUGCUGAAUCCUCUCACUCUGCUCCCUGUGAACAGGAUAGAAGUAUCAAAGAGGGACCUGGCUCUGUGAAGACUUCAGGUUUCCCUUUUCCCCAUAGGCCUGAGGUCCAUUAGUGAAAUUCCAGGUCUCUUAUUUCUGGAUACUGGCCCUUUUGGCCUUUUAUCUGCACUGAACACCAGCUACAAGUUUCAAUGGAUUAAGUAGUCCUACAAUUCCUAUUUAACCUAACUGUCUCUCUGUCAGGCUAUAAGGCGAAAAAAACUCUCAUGCUCACCUACAAUUUGGCCCUGAUGGG
Chelonoidis abingdonii (Abingdon island giant tortoise) is the source of this 1654-nucleotide non-coding RNA. NCBI's taxonomy places the organism in Eukaryota, Metazoa, Chordata, Testudines, Testudinidae. The record is from RefSeq and is a predicted model, not a curated record.